Molecule: ribosomal RNA, 496 nt
Filed under: Salmonella enterica
Lineage: Bacteria; Pseudomonadati; Pseudomonadota; Gammaproteobacteria; Enterobacterales; Enterobacteriaceae
Description: partial 23S ribosomal RNA
Rfam family: Bacterial large subunit ribosomal RNA
Source: RNAcentral
GUUGGGUAACACUAACUGGAGGACCGAACCGACUAAUGUUGAAAAAUUAGCGGAUGACCUGUGGCUGGGGGUGAAAGGCCAAUCAAACCGGGAGAUAGCUGGUUCUCCCCGAAAGCUAUUUAGGUAGCGCCUCGUGAAUUCAUCUCCGGGGGUAGAGCACUGUUUCGGCUAGGGGGCCAUCCCGGCUUACCAACCCGAUGCAAACUGCGAAUACCGGAGAAUGUUAUCACGGGAGACACACGGCGGGUGCUAACGUCCGUCGUGAAGAGGGAAACAACCCAGACCGCCAGCUAAGGUCCCAAAGUCAUGGUUAAGUGGGAAACGAUGUGGGAAGGCCCAGACAGCCAGGAUGUUGGCUUAGAAGCAGCCAUCAUUUAAAGAAAGCGUAAUAGCUCACUGGUCGAGUCGGCCUGCGCGGAAGAUGUAACGGGGCUAAACCAUGCACCGAAGCUGCGGCAGCGACACUGUGUGUUGUUGGGUAGGGGAGCGUUCUGUA